RNAcentral lists this ribosomal RNA (417 nucleotides) under uncultured bacterium. Its description in RNAcentral is "bacterial SSU rRNA". It matches the Rfam family "Bacterial small subunit ribosomal RNA", at positions 356 to 773 of the family's 1533-position model. The record is from RNAcentral.
GGGGAAUAUUGCACAAUGGACGAAAGUCUGAUGCAGCGACGCCGCGUGAGGGAUGAAGGCCUUCGGGUUGUAAACCUUUUUCGCUUUUGACCAAGGCAGCAUUUUGGUGUUGUUGAGGGUAUGAGGUAAAGAAGCUCCGGCUAACUACGUGCCAGCAGCCGCGGUAAUACGUAGGGAGCGAGCGUUGUCCGGAUUUAUUGGGCGUAAAGGGCUUGUAGGUGGCUUGUCGCGUCUGCCGUGAAAUUCCGCAGCUUAACUGUGGUAGUGCGGUGGGUACGGGCAGGCUUGAGUGUGGUAGGGGAGACUGGAAUUCCUGGUGUAGCGGUGGAAUGCGCAGAUAUCAGGAGGAACACCGGUGGCGAAGGCGGGUCUCUGGGCCAUUACUGACGCUGAGGAGCGAAAGCGUGGGGAGCGAAC